UAUCUCCUCUAUCUUCGGCUCUCUCCCAUCUCCCAUCAUCCUCCCCGGCCGCGAUCAAGCCUGCAAUAUCGUCGCGCCUGCCUUCGUCGCUCACAUCGUUCCUCGCCGUCCGCCGUUCGCAAUGCCCCUUGUGGCCGGAUGGUGCAUCAUCUACAAAGUGUAGCGCUCUCAAGUAUAUCAGGUGCACUUACUUGUUAAAUCAACGUUGGGGAACGAUAACUUAUGUCGCAAUUCCUAGAGUCCAACUAGAUUUUUUUGUUUUGUUUUUAUUUAUUCCUUGUAUUUUUAUGUUAAAAUUAAAAUUUUAUACCAAGAAUGAGCCAUAUUUGAAUUUAUUACUGCAUACUUAUUGUACGGGGUGUCCUGCCGGCAUGCUAGCAUACCGACAGAACUCCCCAUAAGCAAAAUCGUCCUGCAGCUAAGUCGGUUAAUAAAGGCGAUUGAGUCUUACUGGCGCAUUUCCAUACAUACUACCGGCAUAAACAAUUAGCCACGUGAUCAAAGAUCACCAAGAGGUCACCAUUAGACAAGUCACUGUCCUACGAGGUAGAGGCUACUCGGCCGUACAAGGCAGUUUGUCUAUAUAAGGAAGACCACAUUUAUUGAUACAAGAUCCCAGUCAGCUACCUCAACAGAAGCUCCCAAUCCCACAGUCAGUUGUUCCCACUCCACACCCGGAACAAUUGACGCUAGAAGGAGGGGACCUCAUCCCUUUUAACGUUUCAUCAGCUAAUAUGAAUCUCUCAACGAAGGAAAACAGUAAGAAUUCGAAGAAAAUUCAAGAUAAAAUAACAACUACGUAGUCAACAGGAAGUAUGAAACCGCAAUCAGCAAUUACAAUUCCAACAGCUUUCAUGCCAUUAACGAAACCGGUAAUAAAUCCAGUAAUAAGUGGCAUCCCGCAGUCGGCUCCAGAGGGAGUAACUGUGGAGGAUGGUGAUGAAGAAGCCGGACAUGACAGUCUUGUCAGCAAGCAGCUCAGCACACCUAUCGCGCAAACAUUGACAAAUUAAUUGUCUCCCCUGUCGAAAAUAUUCAUAGGCCAACAGUUAAAAACGCUAUCAACUGUCACGGCGAAGUUUUCUAGGCUAACACCUACUCAAAUCUCAGGCAGAAGUGGUAGCAUCCAUGAGACAGGACUCGUAGCACCUCAUGUGCCAGUUAAAAAUCUUUUGUCAUCCAUUAACCAGGAAAACACAACACAAAAAAGAAAACACCCCUGAAGGAAAUAUUUCCUUUGCCCAAGGUGCAAUUUCUCCAAUACCAAAGGUUCAGAUUAAUUACGAACAAUUAAUCCAGUGAGAUCAAGUGAUCGGAAUAGCUGGCUGGAGUAAUGCUUCCGAUCAGUGAGUUUUAAUCCUAAUUAGGCUCACAACUUACUCUUGACUGAACCUAUAAGGUCACACCAUUGGCAUGUAACAGAUCAUCGGAUUAAAUUAAUCGGAAAUUCAUUUAAUAGCUUUUCGGGAAAUUAGUUCGGAAAACAUAAUUAUACGAUUUAACAUUGGAUCGUAAAAUUGUAUAUCGUGUUGCGUAUAUUUGUAAGCUAGGAGGAAUGAAAUAAAUCAUAUCCUACGACAUUGGAUCGUCAAAUA
Long non-coding RNA from Spinacia oleracea (spinach), 1595 nucleotides. RefSeq lists it as uncharacterized. The record is from RefSeq and is a predicted model, not a curated record. The transcript is spliced from 3 exons. Lineage: Eukaryota; Viridiplantae; Streptophyta; Magnoliopsida; Caryophyllales; Amaranthaceae.